GAUGAACGCUGGCGGCAUGCCUAAUACAUGCAAGUCGAACGAACGCACGGGAAGCUUUCGUCUCUGAUGUUAGCGGGGGACGGGUGAGUAACACAUGGAUAACCUACCUAUAAGACUGGGGUAAUAUCGGGGAACAGGAUCUAAUACCGGAUAAUAUUUUGAACCGCAUGGUUCAAGAGUGAAAGACGCUCUUGCUGACACUAAUAGAUGGAUCCGCGUUGGAUUAGCUAGUUGGUAAGGUAACGGCUUACCAAGGCAACGAUGCAUAGCCGACCUGAGAGGGUGAUCGGCCACACUGGAACUGAGACACGGUCCAGACUCCUACGGGAGGCAGCAGUAGGGAAUCUUCCGCAAUGGGCGAAAGCCUGACGGAGCAACACCGCGUGAGUGAUGAAGGUCUUCGGAUCGUAAAACUCUGUUAUUAGGAAAGAACAUAUGCGUGUGUAACUGUGCACAUCUUGACGGUACCUAAUGAGAAAGCCCCGGCUAACUACGUG
This 497-nucleotide ribosomal RNA is filed under the name uncultured bacterium. RNAcentral's name for it is "partial 16S ribosomal RNA". It matches the Rfam family "Bacterial small subunit ribosomal RNA", at positions 28 to 507 of the family's 1533-position model. The record is from RNAcentral.